GCCGAAGUGGUGGAAUGGUAUACACGUGCGACUCAAAAUCGCAUGCUUCACGGCUUGUGGGUUCAAGUCCCACCUUCGGCACCA
RNAcentral lists this transfer RNA (84 nucleotides) under Minisyncoccota bacterium. Its description in RNAcentral is "tRNA-Leu". It matches the Rfam family "tRNA". Rfam says of the family: Transfer RNA (tRNA) molecules are approximately 80 nucleotides in length. Their secondary structure includes four short double-helical elements and three loops (D, anti-codon, and T loops). Lineage: Bacteria; Bacillati; Minisyncoccota. The record is from RNAcentral.